CGCACCUUGCACCCUUUGGUAUUCCGAAGGGUAUGCCCGGUUGAGUAUUAUAAUCAACUCAAGCCUCUGAUUUUCUAAUUGCAAAGGCGUGACGACCGACGAAGCCAUUCACAAUGGGGUGGCGGUAGUUGGAGUUUUGCUUGGAACUUCAGAGGUAUUGGACUUGAGCGCACGUCGGUUUAAUCUUUAACCGACCCGCUUGAAAUACAUUAGCUGACGACCGCACGACACGGUUUCACUCGACGCGAUAAGCCUAUUCGUUGAGGACGUGGUUGAGCUUCAAGUCGCUUCUAAUCGUCUUAGGACACCCAUUGAACGUUUAAUCUCAACUCGGGUAGGACUACCCGCUGAACUUAA
RNAcentral lists this ribosomal RNA (357 nucleotides) under uncultured Tulasnellaceae. Its description in RNAcentral is "eukaryotic LSU rRNA". The record is from RNAcentral. Lineage: Eukaryota; Fungi; Basidiomycota; Agaricomycetes; Cantharellales; Tulasnellaceae.